This 85-nucleotide transfer RNA is filed under the name Candidatus Woesebacteria bacterium. RNAcentral describes it as "tRNA-Leu". It matches the Rfam family "tRNA". From Rfam's summary of the family: Transfer RNA (tRNA) molecules are approximately 80 nucleotides in length. Their secondary structure includes four short double-helical elements and three loops (D, anti-codon, and T loops). Lineage: Bacteria; Candidatus Woeseibacteriota. The record is from RNAcentral.
GCAGGUGUGGCGGAAUUGGCAGACGCGUACGGUUCAGGGCCGUAUGAACUUUUAGUUCAUAGAGGUUCAAGUCCUCUCACCUGCA